Molecule: ribosomal RNA, 510 nt
Filed under: Calliptamus madeirae
Lineage: Eukaryota; Metazoa; Arthropoda; Insecta; Orthoptera; Acrididae
Description: partial large subunit ribosomal RNA
Rfam family: Archaeal large subunit ribosomal RNA
Source: RNAcentral
GUCCUCUUGAUAAUAUUUUGAGGUCUGGCCUGCUCACUGACAAGGUUUUGAAGAGCCGCGGUAUUUUGACCGUGCAAAGGUAGCAUAAUCAUUAGUCUCUUAAUUAGGGGCUGGAAUGAAUGGCUUGACGAGAAAUCAACUGUCUCUUAAUAAUUUUUAAAAUUUAACUUUUGAGUUAAAAGGCUUAAAUUUUUCUUUAGGACGAGAAGACCCUAUAGAGCUUAACAUUUUAUUUUUAUAUAGUUUUUAGUUAAUCUUUCUAUAUUUAAUGAUAAUGUUUUGUUGGGGUGACAUGAAGAAUAAUUAAACUCUUCAUUAUAGAAUCAUUGAUUUAUGUUUAUCAUGAUCCAUAAUUUAUGAUCAUAAGAUUAAGUUACCUUAGGGAUAACAGCGUAAUUGUUUUUGAGAGCUCAUAUCGACAAAGUAGAUUGCGACCUCGAUGUUGGAUUAAGAAAAAUUUUGGGUGCAGGAGCCCAAUAAUUAGGUCUGUUCGACCUUUAAAUUCUUACA